RNAcentral lists this ribosomal RNA (319 nucleotides) under uncultured Allapsidae. RNAcentral describes it as "bacterial SSU rRNA". The stretch from base 56 to 319 matches the Rfam family "Eukaryotic small subunit ribosomal RNA", at positions 690 to 955 of the family's 1831-position model. The record is from RNAcentral. Lineage: Eukaryota; Cercozoa; Glissomonadida; Viridiraptoridae.
GAUUUCUGGUAUGGUGCGCCUAUCCCACUGGGGUAACCUAGCGAGUGAUGGUGUGCGCCUGCCAUCCUUCUAGCGUUGCCUAUCGGUCUUAACUGAUCGGUAGGUGAACUAGAUCUUUUACUUUGAAAAAAUUAGAGUGUUUAAAGCAGGCUUGCGCUAUGAAUACAUUAGCAUGGAAUAAUAAUUUAGGACUUUUUUCCUAUUUUAUUGGUUUCUAGGAAUAAAGUAAUGAUUGAUAGGGAUAGUUGGGGGUGCUAGUAUUCGUCGGCCAGAGGUGAAAUUCUUGGAUUCGAUGAAGACUAACUAAUGCGAAAGCAUU